Molecule: transfer RNA, 76 nt
Filed under: Acidihalobacter ferrooxydans
Lineage: Bacteria; Pseudomonadati; Pseudomonadota; Gammaproteobacteria; Chromatiales; Ectothiorhodospiraceae
Description: tRNA-Glu
Rfam family: tRNA
About the family: Transfer RNA (tRNA) molecules are approximately 80 nucleotides in length. Their secondary structure includes four short double-helical elements and three loops (D, anti-codon, and T loops).
Source: RNAcentral
GCUCCCAUCGUCUAGUGGUCCAGGACGUCGCCCUCUCACGGCGAAAACCGGGGUUCGAGUCCCCGUGGGAGCGCCA